RNAcentral lists this ribosomal RNA (754 nucleotides) under uncultured Glomeromycotina. Its description in RNAcentral is "eukaryotic LSU rRNA". It matches the Rfam family "Eukaryotic large subunit ribosomal RNA", at positions 38 to 648 of the family's 3401-position model. Lineage: Eukaryota; Fungi; Glomeromycota. The record is from RNAcentral.
GCAUAUCAAUAAGCGGAGGAAAAGAAAAUAACAAUGAUUCCCCUAGUAACGGCGAGUGAAGAGGGAUUAGCUCAAAUUUAAAAUCUGCUGGGUUUUACCUAUCAGAGUUGUAAUUUAAAGAGGCGUUUUCCGCGUCAUUGUUGGUCCAAGUCCUUUGGGAUAAGGUAUCAUGGAGGGUGAGAAUCCCGUCCGACUAACAUCAUGAUGUUUUACGAUACGCUUUCAAAGAGUCGAGUUGUUUGGGAUUGCAGCUCAAAAUGGGAGGUAAAUUUCUCCUAAGGCUAAAUAUUGGCGAGAGACCGAUAGCGAACAAGUACCGUGAGGGAAAGAUGAAAAGAACUUUGAAAAGAGAGUUAAAAAGUACGUGAAAUUGUUGAAAGGGAAACGAUUGAAGUCAGUCGUACCGACGAGAAAUCAGCUUUUCGAAUGUGCAUUUGUGGGCGUAUGAGAUCUUCAUUGUUUGCAAUAUGCGUAUUUUUUUGGUGUACUUUUUCGUAUGGUAGGUCAACGUCGGUUUUGGUCGCCAUAAAAUGAUCGGAGGAAUGUAGCUUCGGCUUCGGUUGAAGUGUUAUAGCCUUUGGUAAAUGUGGUGAUUAAGACCGAGGAUUGCAACGAAUACCUUUUAGGCUAUCCGUCUGACCUCUGAAAGUUACUUAGGUGCCGAAAGCUUGCUUACGGUCAUUUAAGUUGACGGUCAAUAGGUUAGAACGUGAUUACAUUCGUUAAGGACGUUGACGUAAUGGCUUUAAACGAC